GCCCUGCCGCGGGGCGCCGCGGGAGAUGCAGUCCGGCCGGGCACCGACACCCGGGGAGGCGCCGAACAGGCAGUCUUGGUCCGCACAAGCCGCCUCAGGAGCCGCUUCCCCUUUCGAAAGGCCCCGUCACAGUAGCCGCGGGCCGGCACCUCCCGCUCCGCUCCAAACCGAACCGAACUCCUCGGCCGCGCCAACGUUGUGAGGGACCCGUUCGUUGGUUUAGCCAAAAUGCCUCCCUUGAAAAUCCCUCCCGCAUUCGCGCCCCGUUUUCGGAAAGGCUCGUGUGGCUCGGCGAGGAAGGAGGGUUUUGAUACAGUUGCACAGGCACAGAAGUUACAAAGGCAUCAGUGGAAUUUGUUAUACUGUUUUAAAUGAAAACUCAAUGAAAACUCUGUGCUGAGAAUCGCAGAAGUACAGUGUGACCUCACAAUAAUGCCUGUGAUCAUGGUGUUCUCCAAGAAUAUCUCUUUAAAUGCAUGAUGGGAGUUGGUUUAUUUUGUUUUUGCAAGGAAACAGGUGUUUUGUGAAGUAACAAGGUGGAAAAUGCUUGCCCCUCAUUUCACCUUUGGUGGGCACAUGAAUGAUGCAUGCAGGAUAACGUCAUGUUCUCAGGAGAGCGAGGAGCUGUGUCAGCUUCCCUGGGCACUCCUCGUAACCUUUGGCACCUGCUUGCCAGCAUCCCUCUGUUCCACUCCUGGCCUUUCCUGAGCUGAAGGGAUUCCUCACUUCAGAAUGUGAAAUGGAUUUUCAUUCAUUGUCUGUCAGGUUGACAAGGUAAAAUCAUUAAUUGCUAUAACUAAAUCAAGGUUAGAGUUUAUUAAAGCAUUUGGAUGGUGUAGUAUUGCCAGUACAGCAAGUAAUUCCACACAAAAAUCAAAUGAUGGUUCAGCUUCAGUAAGGAUUUCUACGGAAUAAUGGCACACCAGAUUCUUGUGGUUAUUAUAACCUCACCUAUCAGUCUUCCUGUGGGCUCCUUUUAUUUUCUCCAUGUUAGUGUUACUCAUUCAGAAAUUAUUACAUCAUAUUAGUUAAUAAUGUCUUACUCAAGCACCUGACAUUUCUUUUCUGCAGUCACUGGUUUUAGCCAAUUUUGUUGCAGGGAACAGGCCAAAAAGCUGCUCUUGUGGUUUAUCCACAGGCAAAAGGGAACUACUAUUUCAUGCAGUAGAAAACAUGCAAAUUUCUUUAUUGGUAUUUGUAGAUCAGGAUUUCUGCAUUCAGCCAAGGUAUCUGACAGGAUACUUGUUUAGGACUGGGUGCAUAAUGUUCAAAAUUGAAAUGGUUUCCUUCACACAACUGCCUUUAGGUGAAAAGAGUCGAUUCUUAUCAGACUGUCCCAUUUAAUCUCUAAUCCUGAUUAACAACUGAUUUUGUGAUGCUCAUUUAGUAUGAUAGUAAGUGCUAUCAGUCAUAUUAUAGCUUUUUCAAUUAAUUUAAUAAUUUCCCUAAGGAAUACACAUACAGCAAAUAGUUUCUCUGAAUGUUGGCAGCUCUUCUAAAAUGUUUCAAUUAAAUCACGUUUUCACCCUUCUGAUAUUGCUCUGAAUUUUAAUUAUUUUCCAUUGCAGACUACUGGUUUAAUGAUGACCUGAAUACAUUUCUUAAAAACUAACUGUGGGUGUGGCUGCAUACAGCAAGGGUUUGUUCCUUGUGAACUGGUUAUUGCCCACUCUUUAUGGCUGUUUUCUGCAAGCACUUAGACCUUAGAGGUCAGAUCAGGACAACACUGAGCACUCUCACUGCAGACAUUUUGUACCUCACAGAAAAAGCAAUCUAGAUGAAAAUACAGAGUGACAUUUGCACGUAUUAUGAUUAGACCAUGCAUUCUUAAAUUGUCAAUUAUGAAAUGCAUUGUUACAGGAAAAAAAACUUCUUCCUUUCUAGUUUCAAAUGCAAGUCAUGCAAUUUAUUUGAAGGUUGCAAGAAGUCCUUACAAUAUGGGAAACAUUUAGAAGAUAUAAAUUUUUUCUCUGGAAGUUUUGCUUUUUUUUUAAAGUAAUGCUGAAUUUUUCUACUUUGCCUUUUUCUUUACUCUGGUUUCUUCUACAACCUGUUUCACACUCCCAUAUUACCUGAACACACUUCCCCCUCUUUCUUUCCCCAUCAGACUCAUUGUUCCACAUUUUCUUCCCGAAUCAAGUGUCUAUCAUGUCACUUUUUUCCCAAAUAUUUGCUGGCCUGCACUUCCAAAGGUCCAAAAUUUUUCCUUUCUUACUCCUUUAAGAUAGAAGAUUUUUUCUAUCAAAAUCAAGGAUCCUCUUUAGCAACAAAAGCAACUGUGUUUGUGAGCACAAGCAGUGAGCAGCUUGGAUUAGCCAACUGCUAUAAUUCUGGGUUCAUUGAUGAUAAGAAGAGAUUCAGAAGCAAUACAAAAAGCAGCAGCACUUCAAACUGCCAGUGUGAGAAGAAGGUUGAUUAAACUAGUGCCCCUGACUUUUCCUCAUCUAGCUUAUUUCUUAAAAUUAGGGGACAGAGUUAGGACCUCAAAUCAGGGCAAAUUAAAAUAAAAGGAAGCUUUCUUUAUCACAGUGCAGCCUACUUACUGUCAACAAACAAAAUGCAGAAAGGAAAUGUCAAUAGACAGUUGCAAUGAUAUUUUCAAGAACCUAGCAGCAAGAGGAGAUCAUUCAGGUCCUGAUGAGUUCCAGCAGGAAGUUCCACUUGGGCCUUUUGAGGGCAGCAGAAAAAGCAGCUUAAAAAACCACUUGAUUGCACUCUGCAGCAUUAAUUUCUGUCAUUGCUCCAGAAGAUCAGACAUGGUCAAAGCUACACACCCCAGCAUGUGUUCAACACUGGGAGGUGGUCUGAAGCUGAUUCUCCAGACCACCAGUCUUUGGUUUAACUGAGGUGAAACUUCAAUUCCACAUUUGUAGGAGCAGAAUCUGUAACAGCAUCUAAAGAAAAAUUUAAAUGGGUCUUUGAUCAAAUUAAAGGUAGUGUUUUUAUCAGCAUGGAAUAACUUAUAUUUGGAAACUUUUGCCCUCCAGACAGAUAUGUCCAGCUACAUCACUGCUAUAGAUUAGAAGGAAUCCUUGAAGGAACAUACUCCUCUUAGCAGAACAUUGGAAUUUUCAGCUAUGUUAGUAUAAACUCAGCUUCAGACAGGGUAUAAAUCUGAUCAUUACAUUUAAUCCUACCCUAGCAUUAAAUAUGAAUCAUGACUAAUGGGUGUGUCUCGGGAUAAGGGCCUGUGCAUUCCCUACACAGAAAUUUCUGACUGUGAUCGUUAUCACAAGCAAUAAACACCAGGUUAUAAAUACCUCAGCUGCAGAGCAGAGCUGCAUGGCUGAAGCCUUGUGCAGCUGCUUUUGAGUCAAGCAAGGACUCUCCCUGCAGCUCCACAUCCCACUUUCCUCUCCUGCUGCCUUCCUUUUGGCCUCCCCUGACCAUGCUCUGUUCUGCUCUGCUCUGUGUGGGCUCUGCUGUGCUCCACAGGUGCCCCCGAGAGCUUUGAAGGAGACUCUGAGCUAGAAUAAGGUGCCAGGAAUAUUUUGUUGCUUUGGAAAUAUUUUUGUUUCCCUUGCUACCUGUCUUAAAGAGUUGACACUGUCUGAGUUCUUCAAUGUAUUUGCUGCCUGAGCCCAUUCCCAGAACUCAGAUGCUGUAGGUUGGGCUAAAAGCUGGGAUAAGGUGAUUGAUUUUUUAUCCCUCCUCCUGUUACAAACACUAACUUGGUUAUUACUGCCAGGAGGACACCUGAGAUUCUUUGGACUGUGAUGAGAACUCCCUCUUUAUUGGCAUUUUUAAUAAGAGAUAGGACUUUUUAGAGAAGGUGCUUUCCAAGGCUGGGGGGAAAAAAAAGAAUUAUAAGUAAGGUCUCUGAAAGUUGGAACUACAUUUAAGGAACUUGACAGACCUUUCAUGUUUCUCAGCUGGGGUGGCAUAAGCUUAUUACAGGGUAUGUUUCACUCCUAAUUUGCAGGAAGACAAAAGAACCUUCAAUUCCUGGUUUUUGCAUUCAAGUAGAGGAUAUGAGCAGACUGACCAGAAAAGUUUCUUUCCCCAGUUCAUGUACUCCACUGACAUAUGCAAUAGGCAAAAAAAAAAAAAAAAAAAAAAAGAA
Long non-coding RNA from Pyrgilauda ruficollis (rufous-necked snowfinch), 4063 nucleotides. RefSeq lists it as uncharacterized. The transcript has 3 exons. NCBI's taxonomy places the organism in Eukaryota, Metazoa, Chordata, Aves, Passeriformes, Passeridae. The record is from RefSeq and is a predicted model, not a curated record.